This is a long non-coding RNA of Ceratitis capitata (Mediterranean fruit fly), 543 nucleotides long. RefSeq lists it as uncharacterized. NCBI's taxonomy places the organism in Eukaryota, Metazoa, Arthropoda, Insecta, Diptera, Tephritidae. The transcript has 2 exons. The record is from RefSeq and is a predicted model, not a curated record.
UGAAUGCACGUAUGUAAGACAAUAAUUAUUUGUUAAUUAAGAAAUAAUAAAUCUUCAGUGCAUCUAAAGGCGAUUCGCUGAUAUUUGUAUUAAUAUAGGUAAACAAAGUGCCGGCAGUUAAAAGAAAAUUGGAGCAAAACGACCGAGGAGAAAAUUGAUGGUCCGGAAAAGAUGUAUAGAUUAACGACAACUAGUUUGGAAUGUGGGAGUAUCCUAAAGGGCGAGAUGGGUAGAGGAAAAUCAGCUACUGUGGUCAAAGGGUGUCAAUCCUCUUAACAAAGAAGCACGCUCAUAAGAGCAGCGCAAAUUGUACGUAUUUCUGGCGAGCCUACGAUUGCCACUUGAAGCACGGAUAAGUUGAAGAAAUGGUUGACCACUACAGACUCAAAGCCGCAUUCGUAGCUUUAACGGCUUAUGCACAUACCCAGAGGAUAGAGUCCCAGUGGCGGGUAGCGAAAUGGUAACAAAUGUAUAAAGAGACAUUCUACAAAUUUUGCGGAUUGACAAUAAAUUAUGUUGAUGCACGAAAUCGCAAAUUAUAAA